This 492-nucleotide ribosomal RNA is filed under the name uncultured bacterium. RNAcentral's name for it is "partial 16S ribosomal RNA". It matches the Rfam family "Bacterial small subunit ribosomal RNA", at positions 29 to 507 of the family's 1533-position model. The record is from RNAcentral.
AGUGAACGCUGGCGGUAGGCCUAACACAUGCAAGUCGAACGGCAGCACAGUAAGAGCUAGCUCUUACGGGUGGCGAGAGGCGGGAGGGUGAGAAAUGCACCGGAAUCUACUUUUUCGUGGGGGAUAACGAAGGGAAACUAACGCUACUACCGCAUACGACCUGCGAGCGAAAGAAGGGGAUCUUCGGACCUUGAGCGAUGGCAUGAGCCGGUGUCGGAUUAGCUAGUUGGAGGGGUAAAGGCCCACCAAGGCGACGAUCCGUAGCUGGUCUGAGAGGAUGAUCAGCCACACUGGAACUGAGACACGGUCCAGACUCCUACGGGAGGCAGCAGUGGGGAAUAUUGGACAAUGGGCGCAAGCCUGAUCCAGCCAUACCGCGUGGGUGAAGAAGGCCUUCGGGUUGUAAAGCCCUUUUGUUGGGAAAGAAAAGCAGCAGGUUAAUACCCCGCUGGUCUGACGGUACCCAAAGAGUAAGCACCGGCUAACUUCGUG